UCCUCCUUAGCUCAGUUGGUUAGAGCACCUGACUGUUAAUCAGGGUGUCCUUGGUUCGAGUCCAAGAGGAGGAGCAA
RNAcentral lists this transfer RNA (77 nucleotides) under Bacteroidota bacterium. RNAcentral's name for it is "Bacteroidetes bacterium tRNA-Asn". It matches the Rfam family "tRNA". From Rfam's summary of the family: Transfer RNA (tRNA) molecules are approximately 80 nucleotides in length. The record is from RNAcentral. Lineage: Bacteria; Pseudomonadati; Bacteroidota.